Molecule: ribosomal RNA, 937 nt
Filed under: uncultured eukaryote
Lineage: Eukaryota
Description: bacterial SSU rRNA
Rfam family: Archaeal small subunit ribosomal RNA
Source: RNAcentral
AACCUGGUUGAUCCUGCCAGUGGCCACCGCUAUUGGACUUCGCUUAAACCAUGCGAGUCGAGAGGGUUCGGCCCUCGGCAGACCGCUCAGUAACACGCGGAUAACCUGCCCUUGGGUGGAGGAUAAGCUCGGGAAACUGAGUAUAAUACUCCAUAGACCAUCUAUGCUGGAAUGCUUGAUGGUCAAAAGCUCCGGCGCCCAAGGAUGGGUCUGCGGCCUAUCAGGUCGUAGUUGGUGUAACGGACCAACUAGCCUUCGACGGGUACGGGCCUUGAGAGAGGUAGCCCGGAGAUGGACUCUGAGACAUGAGUCCAGGCCCUACGGGGCGCAGCAGGUGCGAAAACUUCGCAAUGUGGGAAACCACGACGAGGGGAGUCCAAGUGCUUGCACAAUGUGUAGGCUGUUUCCGUGCCUAAAAAGCACGGAGAGUAAGGGCUGGGUAAGACGGGUGCCAGCCGCCGCGGUAAUACCCGCAGCCCGAGUGGUGGUCGCUAUUAUUGGGCCUAAAACGUCCGUAGCCUGCCCGGUAAAUUCUUGGGGAAAUCGGUCAGCUCAACUGACCGAAGUCCGAGGAGACUGCCGGGCUUGGGACUGGGUGAGGCCAGAGGUACUUCAGGGGUAGGGGUAAAAUCCUGUAAUCCUUGAAGGACCACCAGUGGCGAAGGCGUCUGACUAGAACGGAUCCGACGGUAAGGGACGAAGCCCUGGGGCACAAACGGGAUUAGAUACCCCGGUAGUCCAGGGUGUAAACGCUGUGGGCUUGGUGUUGGGAGUCCUACGAGGGCGCCCAGUGCCGGAGAGAAGUUGUUAAGCCUACUGCCUGGGGAGUACGCUCGCAAGAGUGAAACUUAAAGGAAUUGGCGGGGGAGCACCGCAACGGGUGGAGCGUGCGGUUUAAUUGGAUUCAACGCCGGAAAACUCACCGGGAGCGACGGUU